UGGUGAAACCCCUUAUCCACUAAAAAUACAAAAAAAAAAAAAAAGUCAAGUCUCACAAUACUAAUUGUUGGUGAGGAUCCUGAGCAACAGGAACUCUCCUGUAGGAGAGUAACUUGGUAGUCUACUUUACAUAACUCUUUGGCAUUAUCUUCUAAACCUGAUUAUACAACAAUUUCAUGUAUAUGAAAUAAAAAUUCAUUAUUAGCAUAAAAGCAAUAUUUAUUACAUGCCAAAAUUGGAAACUACUCAAUUAUCUACCAUCAGAAGAAGACAUUUAAAAGUAUAGUAUAGAUCCACUGUGGAAUUCUGCAAAGCAAUUAAAAUGAACAAACAGCAACUUCAGGCAAAAACAUGGAUAAACUCAUUAACAUAUAGUUGUCAUAAGGUUCUAUAAUGGCUUCCCUAGGGGAUCAGCAAAUUGUUUCAGUGGACAGACUCUUUUAGCAAUUCAGAAAUGUCCCAGUGCUGAGAUAGUUUCUAUCCGGAAAGCCAGCUCCAUCUAGGGACAAGGUGUUAGAGGGUUCUAGGGGAAGAGAUACAUAUAGAGGUCACUAAAGGGGUUUGUAGAUGCAAGGUGGACUGUGGGGCCAGGGAAACACUCAGACACUGGCAUAAAGUCCCCAGCAUAAGGAGCAGAGAGCAAGUCUGUAGCUGGGGCUACCAGAAUCUCUCCUGAGGUCUUUAUGCUGGGAUUCACAGGCCUGGCCAUGGAUCAAGAGCAAAUUCUGCUGCAGUGGGAUUCUUGAGCAUCUGGGAAGAAAGGGGCUGCAGAAACAUGUGAGUCCUCCAACUACAGAAUUCAUGGAGGCAGAGGCUCUGGGUGACGUGCUUGGCUUCUUGUCUCUGGCCUGGGGUCAUUGUCACUGAUACUGGUCUUGCUGCUUCUGCUGCUGAGUGUCUUUGGCUCAGUUAUUGUUGAACCACACCAGAACUUGUGCUCAGCUCAGGAUAUGUUCCUGACCCUUCCUUCUUGAAGGGACAGCCGUGUAACCAUUCAACCAUCUGGCCAUCAGUUUCCACAUCUGUGAGAUCAACUUCUGCCUCAUGGAGCCAUGAGUCCCCAAGAUGGAGUGUCACUCUCGUUGCCCAGACUGGAGUGCAAUGG
This is a long non-coding RNA of Cercocebus atys (sooty mangabey), 1105 nucleotides long. RefSeq lists it as uncharacterized. The transcript is spliced from 3 exons. Lineage: Eukaryota; Metazoa; Chordata; Mammalia; Primates; Cercopithecidae. The record is from RefSeq and is a predicted model, not a curated record.